GACGAACGCUGGCGGCGUGCUUAACACAUGCAAGUCGAACGGAAAGGCACUGCUAUUGUGGGGUGCUCGAGUGGCGAACGGGUGAGUAACACGUGAGUAACCUGCCCUAGACUUUGGGAUAACUUCAGGAAACUGGGGCUAAUACCGGAUAGGAGCUCCUGCUGCAGGGUGGGGGGUGGAAAGUUUCGGCGGUCGGGGAUGGACUCGCGGCUUAUGAGCUUGUUGGUGGGGUGGUGGAUUGCCCAGGAUUUGGCGGGUCGGCGGCCUGGGAGGGGGGCCGGCCACAUUGGGACUGAGGUACGGCCCAGUCUCGAACGGGAGGCAGCAGUGGGAAAUAUUGCACAAUGGGCGGAAGCCGGAGGCAGAAGCCCCGCGUUUGGGAUGACGGCUUUCGGGUUGUAAACCGCUUUCGCCUGUGACGAAGCGUGAGUGACGGUAAUGGGUAAAGAAGCACCGGCUAACUACGUG
RNAcentral lists this ribosomal RNA (468 nucleotides) under uncultured bacterium. RNAcentral's name for it is "partial 16S ribosomal RNA". It matches the Rfam family "Bacterial small subunit ribosomal RNA", at positions 28 to 507 of the family's 1533-position model. The record is from RNAcentral.